CCUACGGGAGGCAGCAGUGAGGAAUAUUGGUCAAUGGGCGGAAGCCUGAACCAGCCAAGCCGCGUGAGGGAUGAAGGUACAGAGUAUCGUAAACCUCUUUUGUCAGGGAACAAAGGCGGGGACGUGUCCCCGGAUGAGUGUACCUGAAGAAAAAGCAUCGGCUAACUCCGUGCCAGCAGCCGCGGUAAUACGGAGGAUGCGAGCGUUAUCCGGAUUUAUUGGGUUUAAAGGGUGCGCAGGCGGUCUGUUAAGUCAGCGGUCAAAGCCCGGGGCUCAACCCCGGCCCGCCGUUGAAACUGGCAGUCUCGAGUUGGAGAGAGGUAUGCGGAAUGCGCGGUGUAGCGGUGAAAUGCAUAGAUAUCGCGCAGAACUCCGAUUGCGAAGGCAGCAUGCCGGCUCCACACUGACGCUGAGGCACGAAAGCGUGGGUAUCGAACAGGAUUAGAUACCCGAGUAGUC
RNAcentral lists this ribosomal RNA (459 nucleotides) under uncultured bacterium. Its description in RNAcentral is "partial 16S ribosomal RNA". It matches the Rfam family "Bacterial small subunit ribosomal RNA", at positions 338 to 795 of the family's 1533-position model. The record is from RNAcentral.